Molecule: ribosomal RNA, 481 nt
Filed under: uncultured bacterium
Lineage: Bacteria
Description: partial 16S ribosomal RNA
Rfam family: Bacterial small subunit ribosomal RNA
Source: RNAcentral
AUUGAACGCUGGCGGCAUGCCUUACACAUGCAAGUCGAACGGUAACAGGUCUUCGGAUGCUGACGAGUGGCGAACGGGUGAGUAAUACAUCGGAACGUGCCCGAUCGUGGGGGAUAACGAGGCGAAAGCUUUGCUAAUACCGCAUACGAUCUACGGAUGAAAGCGGGGGAUCUUCGGACCUCGCGCGGACGGAGCGGCCGAUGGCAGAUUAGGUAGUUGGUGGGAUAAAAGCUUACCAAGCCGACGAUCUGUAGCUGGUCUGAGAGGAUGAUCAGCCACACUGGGACUGAGACACGGCCCAGACUCCUACGGGAGGCAGCAGUGGGGAAUUUUGGACAAUGGGCGAAAGCCUGAUCCAGCCAUGCCGCGUGCAGGAUGAAGGCCUUUGGGUUGUAAACUGCUUUUGUACGGAACGAAAAGCCUCUUUCUAAUAAAGAGGGGUCAUGACGGUACCGUAAGAAUAAACACCGGCUAACUACGU